This is a long non-coding RNA of Carassius gibelio (silver crucian carp), 3261 nucleotides long. RefSeq lists it as uncharacterized. NCBI's taxonomy places the organism in Eukaryota, Metazoa, Chordata, Actinopteri, Cypriniformes, Cyprinidae. The transcript is spliced from 3 exons. The record is from RefSeq and is a predicted model, not a curated record.
UUCUCAUCGGUUUCUACGAGCAGUGCUAACCCCUCUUCGUGGACGAAGGGAGACUCACAUGAAACGUGUGUAGUAUGUUUAGGCUUACACACAGCCGGCACUUAGCGGCCUUUCUUCUUGUCCCCACUGUGAUGGCCUGCGGCUUAGAGUACUGCGCUCGAGGGUAGAAGUGUUUUCUAAUGUCGCCCCCGUGUCUAACCCCCGUCACGUCACUGUUGCGGCUGCCGAGGCACCACAUGAGGCGAUAGCUUGGGGAGACACGUGCGAUAUGGAUUUUGAGGACAGCGCAGUGCUGGAAUUUUAUCCACAUCCCUCGCUCUCCCCUACCCUGGUGCAGGAAAAGAGCUUUAUCGAACCAGUCGUUUUCUCUAACGAGGAUUUAUAGCCCACACAGGAGGCAUACGAUGCUAUCUCCUUCGGUUGUGAAUGUUACGACAAAGACGUUUUAUCCGCCACGGCCUCGGGGUCUGAGAACUUCACGGCUGACGCAAGCUCUCUCUCUCUCCUAGUUGACAGGAUAAGCAUGUUUCCCCCUCCAACAGCGAGCUGUCCUUCUAAGGCGUAUCGAGUCACGUCCAGCCUCAUUGGAAAAUGCGUCGGAACGCUUGCCCGACAUCUAGCAAUGGGUGUUACGCACAAUUUGUCACGGAUACACCAUUCAGUUUCGAAAAGGCCCUCCUCCUUUCCGCGGAAUUCUUCCCACGGUUGUGAAACCGAAGGAAAUAGCGGUGCUGCGACAAGAGAUGUCAACUCUGCUGAGAAAAGGGGCUAUAGAGGAAGUACACCCCUCUCAGAUGGAGUCAGGGUUUUACAGAUGCAAUUUUGUGGUGCCAAAAAAAGACGGCGGGUUGCGACCCAUUCUGGAUUUAUGCCGUUUGAAUCUUGCACUCAGGACGAGCAAAUUCAAGAUGUUACCGGUAAAUUCUAUUUUGUCUCAGAUUCAACCAAACGACUGGUUUGUCACAAUUGAUCUGAAAGAUGCAUACUUUCAUAUUCAGAUCAUCAAAAGACACAUGAAGUUUUAGAGGGCAAAGCUUAUCAGUACCGUGUUCUUCCCUUUGGCUUAGCUCUGGCUCCCCGUACUUUUUCAAAAUGCAUGGACGCAGCUCUGGCCCCGUUGCGGCUCCAAGGCGUUCGUGUUUUGAAAUACUUAGACGAUUGGCUGGUGAUAGCAAAAUCGCAGACUCAAGAACACUCUCACCAGGAUCUUGUGCUGAAUCAUUUAAACAGCCUGGGUUUAUGCACAAAUUUCCAGAAGAGUGUUUGAAUUCCCUCUCAAUGGAUAACCUUUCUGGGAAUAGACUUGGACUCUCGCGCGAUGACAGCUAAGCUAUCUCUCCCACUCGCUCAGUUGAUCGCGUCAUGCGUGCCUCGCUUCAAAGCGGGUCGCACAGUGACGGUGAGCUUGUGCCUCACACUUUUAGGUCUAAUGGCAGCGGUAUCCCCGUAAUCCAUCUGGGAUUACUUCACAUGCGCCCUUUUCAGUGGUGGACGAAAAGUCUGAACAUUUCACCCCAUUGUCUUCCACAUCAGACGAUUUCGGUGACACGGAGAUGUGUUGUGUCGAUAAAACUGUGGAUGUCAACCGAAUUCCUUCUAGCCGGAGUUCGGCUGGGGAUUUGUGCUUCCAGUGAGACUGUCACGACGGAUGCGUCUUUGACCAGUUGGGGAGCUGAUAGUCAAGGGCGCCCAGCCCACGGAGUGUGGACGGCGACACAACACAGUUGGCACAUAAACAGCUUAGAAUUACUGGCAGUUUUUCUAGCUCUCUAGUAUUUCUCGAAUCUGCUGAUCGGCCAUCAUGUACUGCUCAGGUCAAAAAAUAUAGCUGUUGUGUCGUAUCUGAAUCAUCAGGGAGGAUUACGCUCUCGCUUCUUGUGCAGGCUGGCUAGAAAAAUAUUCUUCUUUGGUCUGAGAACAAAUUUCUGUCGAUCCGAGCGGUUCAUGUUCCCGGACGUUUGAACUUCCGAGCGGAUUUGCUAUCCAGACAGACUCUGGAGCAGGGGGAAUGGAGAUUGCACCCCCAAACAGUGAACCUCUUAUGGCAGAUUUUUGGAGAAGCGAGAGUGGACUUGUUCGUGUUGAGCAUGACUACGCAUUGCCCGCUGUGGUUCUCCCUAUGCCCUCCAUCACUCACGAUUUGCCCAAAACCAGCUUGUAUGCUUUUUCCCCGAUUCGUUUAAUUCCAGUGGUAUUAUCCAGGAUACGGCUGGACAGAGUGGAAUAGCUGCUGCUGGUUGCUCCGCGAUGGCACACACAGACGUGGUUUGCGGACCUGAUCAGUCUGUUAGCGGGCUCUCCAUGGGAGAUUCCCCUCAGACAGAAUUUACUAUCACAAGCACAGGGAAUGAUUUGGCACGAUUUUGCUUCAUGGGAUUUAUCUAUUGUGUUUCAAGGUUUAUCAGGGCAUCCGUUUGAGCCCCUGGAAACUAUACUGGAUAAAAUCCUGACUCUGAAGACAGUUCUUCUUAUGGCUUUAUCCUCCCUCAAGAGAGUUGGGGAUUUACAGGCUCUUUCUGUCUCACCCUCGUGCAUGGAAUGUGCACCGGGCUCUGUGAAUGUGUUGUUGCGACUGAGGCCUAAUUAUGUUUUCAUAACCCCUUUCCUUUUCAACAAGUGGUCUUGGAGGCUUUACCCCCUGCUGAGGCGGGGUCAGGAGAUCUAAGUCUUUGCCCUGUCAGAGCGCUGAAGGCUUAUGUUGAUCAAACAGCCCGUGGCGUGAGUCUGACCAGCUGUUUGUCUGUUUUGGACAUAAGAAUAAAGGCCAUGCUGUCACAAGCAAAGCAUGUCCCAUUGGCUAGUGGAAGCAAUAUCUUUAGACUAUGAGGUGCGCGGACUCGCUUCGCCCUUAGGAAUUAGAGCUCAUUCCACGAGAGCAGUGGCUUCUUCACAAGCUUUUCUCAGUGGAUCUUCUAUAGAGCACUUUUAUCAAGUCUUACAGUCUGGGUGUGAGGAUGGUUCCUGGCUCCUGGGUUCUCUCCGCUUGAGUAGAUGCUUCCUUGGAUCCCAGCUAUCAGGGGGACCCUGCUCCACCUUUCCUACCACACACCUGAUGGAUACUGACUGUAAAAUGGCAAUCAUAGGAGGAGGGCUCACUGUGAAUAGAUGUAUUGUUGACUGCAAGUCUGUCCAUCCAGAUGUGAGGAAGACCCAGCAGGUGUGUCAUGGCUAUAGAUACUGUGGUCUUGGAAAGAAAGGCGUCUUCACAUCCAUCCAUCCAUCCAUCCAUCCUGAAAGCUAAAUAAAUGUUUUAGUGGAUAA